CACGUAGGGGCCGAGCGUUGUCCGGAUUCAUUGGGCGUAAAGAGCUCGUAGGCGGUCGUGUAAGUCGGGUGUGAAAUCUCCAGGCUCAACUUGGAGGGGCCACCCGAUACUGCUCGACUUGAGUCCGGUAGGGGAGUGGGGAAUUCCUGGUGUAGCGGUGAAAUGCGCAGAUAUCAGGAGGAACACCGGUGGCGAAGGCGCCACUCUGGGCCGGUACUGACGCUGAGGAGCGAAAGCGUGGGUAGCAAACAGG
This 253-nucleotide ribosomal RNA is filed under the name uncultured bacterium. RNAcentral's name for it is "partial 16S ribosomal RNA". It matches the Rfam family "Bacterial small subunit ribosomal RNA", at positions 524 to 776 of the family's 1533-position model. The record is from RNAcentral.